ACGGGUGAGUAAUAUAUCGGAACGUGCCCAGUAGUGGGGGAUAGCCCGGCGAAAGCCGGAUUAAUACCGCAUACGACCUACGGGUGAAAGCGGGGGAUCGCAAGACCUCGCGCUAUUGGAGCGGCCGAUAUCAGAUUAGCUUGUUGGUGGGGUAAAAGCCUACCAAGGCGACGAUCUGUAGCUGGUCUGAGAGGACGACCAGCCACACUGGGACUGAGACACGGCCCAGACUCCUACGGGAGGCAGCAGUGGGGAAUUUUGGACAAUGGGCGCAAGCCUGAUCCAGCCAUGCCGCGUGCGGGAAGAAGGCCUUCGGGUUGUAAACCGCUUUUGUCAGGGAAGAAACGGCUCUUACUAAUACUAGGGGCUAAUGACGGUACCUGAAGAAUAAGCACCGGCUAACUACGUGCCAGCAGCCGCGGUAAUACGUAGGGUGCAAGCGUUAAUCGGAAUUACUGGGCGUAAAGCGUGCGCAGGCGGCUUUGCAAGACAGAUGUGAAAUCCCCGGGCUCAACCUGGGAACUGCAUUUGUGACUGCAUGGCUAGAGUGCGGCAGAGGGGGAUGGAAUUCCGCGUGUAGCAGU
RNAcentral lists this ribosomal RNA (584 nucleotides) under proteobacterium RDB-200. Its description in RNAcentral is "bacterial SSU rRNA". It matches the Rfam family "Bacterial small subunit ribosomal RNA", at positions 102 to 682 of the family's 1533-position model. The record is from RNAcentral. Lineage: Bacteria; Pseudomonadati; Pseudomonadota.